AGCAGUCGCCGCGGUAAUACGAAGGGGGCUAGCGUUGCUCGGAAUGACUGGGCGUAAGGGCGCGUAGGCUGAUUGUUUAGUUAGGCGUGAAAUUCCUGGGCUUAACCUGGGGACUGCGCUUAAUACAGGCAGUCUAGAGUGAGGAAGAUGGUUGUGGAAUUCCCAGUGUAGAGGUGAAAUUCGUAGAUAUUGGGAAGAACACCGGUGGCGAAGGCGGCAACCUGGUCCUUGACUGACGCUGAGGCGCGAAAGCGUGGGGAGCAAACAGGAUUAGAUACCCCCGUAGUCCCUGUCUCUUAUACC
Molecule: ribosomal RNA, 303 nt
Filed under: uncultured bacterium
Lineage: Bacteria
Description: partial 16S ribosomal RNA
Rfam family: Bacterial small subunit ribosomal RNA
Source: RNAcentral